GGGAGUCACAGUUGGUAUCAGAGCUUAGGGAUAUGAUCUCUGGCGGAGAUCGGGGAAUAGAACUAGGAGGGGAGAGACGAGUAAAUCCUUCGCUAGUGUGUCCUACCUAAGCUUAUUUGUUGGUCAGGUCAUAAUAUAGGAAUAUUAUAUGACAUGUUAAUUUGUUUAAUUAACCCUUGUUUUAUGGCAGUAUUUAAGAAUGGCUGCUGAGAACGUUAACA
Molecule: long non-coding RNA, 221 nt
Filed under: Panax ginseng (ginseng)
Lineage: Eukaryota; Viridiplantae; Streptophyta; Magnoliopsida; Apiales; Araliaceae
Description: long non-coding RNA (PGIN_LNC009118)
Source: RNAcentral